Long non-coding RNA from Oreochromis aureus, 689 nucleotides. Lineage: Eukaryota; Metazoa; Chordata; Actinopteri; Cichliformes; Cichlidae. The record is from Ensembl.
GUGUUCUUGUACAAAGGCCGUUCAGCGUCGGGAUUUACACUCGGCUCGACACGGAUAUGUGAAGAAUGAAGGGACCCUGCAGCGAAACGGAGAGCCAACCUCUGACUGAGUGCCUGUCAACACAGUCUGACCACCUGUUGAAGGGCUGUUUGAUGACGAUUUGGACUCCUCUGGGAGAUGAGGACACACCCACAUCUGUUCCAUACUGCAGCCAUGGAUGGUGUUACAGCUCUGAGUCAGCUUUGGGCCAUCAGACGCACACACUGGAAAACCAGCGCCUAUACUUCAUGCAGGAGAGACGGCCUCAGUGAUGUAGAAUUCAUCAGCAGCUGUGGAGAGAUGCAUUUGAAUAUCUUCUGGUUCCACUUUUCCUUACCUGGAAGCUGAGUAUUGCUGAUUUCUGACAAGGACACAAACCUCAGUGCUUAUCAUGGGUGUUACAUCCUCUGUGCAGCAAUUCCAGAGACAACGAGAGAGCAACGACCACUCAUUAAGACCAUACAGAAAUCUGUCCCUUUCUGGCAGCUGUGGAAACUUCCAAUAAGAAAGUUUGCAUUCUUAGAGCAAUGCUGGAUCAUGUGUGAUGUGUCAUCAUAUGAGGAUAUUACAUUUUGCCUUAAUUCUGCUCAAUUAAGUGUUUUGAUCGUUGAUCCAGUAUGGCAGCUUUGUGUUGUGCUGCAAGUUAAAAC